UACAUGGGGUGCAAACGUUGCUCGGAAUUAUUGGGCGUAAAGCGCGCGUAGGCGGCUACUUAAGUCGGAUGUGAAAGCCCUCGGCUUAACUGAGGAAGUGCAUCCGAAACUGAGUAGCUAGAGUACGAAAGAGGGUCGCGGAAUUCCCGGUGUAGAGGUGAAAUUCGUAGAUAUCGGGAGGAACACCGGUGGCGAAGGCGGCGACCUGGGUCGAGACUGACGCUGAUGCGCGAAAGCGUGGGGAGCAAACAGG
This 253-nucleotide ribosomal RNA is filed under the name uncultured bacterium. Its description in RNAcentral is "partial 16S ribosomal RNA". It matches the Rfam family "Bacterial small subunit ribosomal RNA", at positions 524 to 776 of the family's 1533-position model. The record is from RNAcentral.